GGUGUGAAUGCUCUGUCAAAACAAUAGCAUGUCAGAAUGAUGUCAAGUGCGACACAUAGAGUACGCCAGUGAGGCGCACGGAUGUACAUGUGAGGUAAGGAGGAAAAUGUUCAAUGUAAAAUCAAUUUAUAUUAUGAUUUUUGCAUUCCGUUCUUACAAAUUAAAAUCUUAUAAAUACUCGGCCAUGGCUAAGAAAGCUCUUUUCUGUCUCAACCAGCGGACGAAAUAGUAGUGCGCGUCGUGAUUAGCGAAAUUAAUUAAAAAAAGUACGGUUAGUGUUCCUUAAAAGCUAUUAGUACGGGCAGUAGUACGUAGAAGCAAUAUUCGUAAAGAAUUAGAAGAUAUAGUACGUCUAUUUCGCCCAUAAUGUGCCCGAUGUAAAUGAAAACGGGUCGAAAAGAUUAAGUGCUGUGAUAAGAGAAAGGUCCAUAAAGGGCCUUUCUCUUUAUUUUCUUUUCUUCGGCACAAGUUCCGGCUAGCCGCUGGACCGACAAAGCUUCGCUAGAUGCGCACGUCUAUCCGCAAAGUCAUGGAUGAGCAGAAAAGGAAGACAUUCGAGAGACCCCCCCCCCACUUCGGGCAGCAUACGUCGGAGAACGGUGAGUCAGCCAUCUUGGAAGGCCUUUCUAUGCGGGAAGCCGCCUGUCUCCGUGUCGAGUCGGGAAGCAUCGAUAACUGCCCCGAACUUCCGACGAAAGUAUCACCAGGCCACUACGAACCACCCACCGACAUCAGAAUACGCCACCGGAAUCAACAGCAACGCCAUCUGUCAACUGCCACCUACAAGCCAAAACCACUACGGAUCCGGAUCCCAACCAACAAUAUACGCAAGUACCCUAUGUGACGUCAGACGGUAGGAGAAGAGGUGUCCAAAAUGGACAAUUUGUUAAUAAAUAGUUUGUAAUUGGAACUUAGUGGUGCCGUCUACUUUUAUUAGAGCGCAGCCCUGAAUUAUUUAGU
Armigeres subalbatus is the source of this 960-nucleotide long non-coding RNA. RefSeq lists it as uncharacterized. The transcript has 3 exons. Lineage: Eukaryota; Metazoa; Arthropoda; Insecta; Diptera; Culicidae. The record is from RefSeq and is a predicted model, not a curated record.